GAUAUGUUUCAGAAAUGGUUGCAAUUACCUACUGGUGGUAAGGUGGCCGAGCUUUAGGGUUUGUAACAACCCAGCUCAAUAAGCCAUCAAGUCCGCGACCCGCAAAAAAGGCGGUUAACCUGGUUAAAGUCCAGGACCAACGGUACAGUCCGGAUGUCAGAAACGGAGA
RNAcentral lists this non-coding RNA (169 nucleotides) under unclassified sequences. RNAcentral's name for it is "FMN sequence". It matches the Rfam family "FMN riboswitch aptamer (RFN element)". Rfam says of the family: The RFN element is a highly conserved domain that is found frequently in the 5'-untranslated regions of prokaryotic mRNAs that encode for flavin mononucleotide (FMN) biosynthesis and transport proteins. This element is a metabolite-dependent riboswitch that directly binds FMN in the absence of proteins. The record is from RNAcentral.